GUGGGGAAUAUUGCACAAUGGGGGAAACCCUGAUGCAGCGACGCCGCGUGAGUGAAGAAGUAUUUCGGUACGUAAAGCUCUAUCAGCAAGGAAGAAAAUGACGGUACUUGACUAAGAAGCCCCGGCUAACUACGUGCCAGCAGCCGCGGUAAUACGUAGGGGGCAAGCGUUAUCCGGAUUUACUGGGUGUAAAGGGAGCGUAGACGGUAUGGUAAGUCAGAUGUGAAAGCCCGGGGCUCAACCCCGGGACUGCAUUUGAAACUAUCAGACUAGAGUGCAGGAGAGGUAAGUGGAAUUCCUAGUGUAGCGGUGAAAUGCGUAGAUAUUAGGAGGAACACCAGUGGCGAAGGCGGCUUACUGGACUGUAACUGACGUUGAGGCUCGAAAGCGUGGGGAGCAAACAGGAUUAGAAACCCCAGUAGUCC
This 425-nucleotide ribosomal RNA is filed under the name uncultured bacterium. RNAcentral's name for it is "partial 16S ribosomal RNA". It matches the Rfam family "Bacterial small subunit ribosomal RNA", at positions 354 to 796 of the family's 1533-position model. The record is from RNAcentral.